UUCCCCCAUUUUCAGAGACAAAGGGUUUUCCCUAUUUGUCUUAGUUUUGUUAUGAUUUUCAUCCAACCAUUAUAGGCGGCUGCGGCUUAGCGUCGAAUCUUCACCUACAUUUCAGCGUCGGAUCUCCAAAACCAUCUUUUUUGUAAUUUCUUUAUAUUUGGAAUAAGUUGCAGAGACUCUUUGGGUUCUCUGUGUAGUUUCACCUUUCCUUUUGUGAGAAUUUUUCAUCUCUCCUUUGUGAGAGCUUUUCAUCUCUCCUUUGUGAGAGUUUUAUUUGUAUUGUUAUGGCUUGGUUUUUUCAAGCUUUAUCUCUUUUUUAUUAUUCUAAGUUUGCAAUCUUAGUUGGGAUGUCUAUGCCAGAGUUUCUUCGAUCCUACAUGAUCGUUAGUGUAGACACACCAGAUUGUCUUAAUUUUGAUAUUAGACCACUUCGUUAUUGUAAUGGCCCUUUUGUGGCUAGUUUGUAUUGGCCAUUUGUGUCUAGUGGCUUUUUUGACUGAAUUAUGAAUGCAAUUAUAGAAUUUCUC
This 527-nucleotide long non-coding RNA is filed under the name Prunus persica (peach). RNAcentral's name for it is "long non-coding RNA (PPER_LNC005340)". Lineage: Eukaryota; Viridiplantae; Streptophyta; Magnoliopsida; Rosales; Rosaceae. The record is from RNAcentral.